This 252-nucleotide ribosomal RNA is filed under the name uncultured bacterium. RNAcentral's name for it is "partial 16S ribosomal RNA". It matches the Rfam family "Bacterial small subunit ribosomal RNA", at positions 525 to 776 of the family's 1533-position model. The record is from RNAcentral.
ACGGAGGGGGCUAGCGUUAUUCGGAAUUACUGGGCGUAAAGCGCACGUAGGCGGAUUGGAAAGUUAGAGGUGAAAUCCCAGGGCUCAACCUUGGAACUGCCUUUAAAACUAUCAGUCUAGAGUUCGAGAGAGGUGAGUGGAAUUCCGAGUGUAGAGGUGAAAUUCGUAGAUAUUCGGAGGAACACCAGUGGCGAAGGCGGCUCACUGGCUCGAUACUGACGCUGAGGUGCGAAAGCGUGGGGAGCAAACAGG